GUCUUUUCUGUCUGUCCGUAGCCCAUUCCACCAUUCUGCGGAGUGUCUUUUCUGUCUGUCCGUAGCCCAUUCCACCAUUCUGCUGAGUGUCUUUUCUGUCUGUCCGUAGCCCAUUCCACCAUUCUGCGGAGUGUCUUUGUAGUCAGGCUUUUCUGCAGUGUCAUUCUCUCAAGGUGUUUGUGCUUCAGUCCUCUUCUCUUCCACAGCUCUUCACUUCAAGCCUAAUUAGCUUUCCCCUCUUGAGGUAGAUAAUCGCUUGCGACAGCUUCCCCAAUCACUCUCCAUCUAGUAUCCUGAACCAGAGCAAAUAACAGGUCAACUUUGCAGCCAUGGAGACCUUCCUGUCUUGUCACCACCCCCCUUCUCUCCUACUCUUAACUGAUUGGCUCUUUGAUAGCAUCAGACGUGUUUUAAAAAUGUCCUCUCUGUAUAAACAAUGUUGUGCAGUAUUUUAUUUAUUUUGUCAUCUAUAUAUAUAUAUAUAUCGGAUCUAUUUUUACACCUGUUUGAUUUUCAUGGAUGUGUGUGUGUGUGUGAGGACAGAGUUUGGGAAGCGCUGGUUUAGGGUAGACCAACAAAGUGAGACUAAGAUUUGGGGUUAGAGGUUAGGAGUUGACCCAAUCACAAAUGUCUUUAUUUAUUUGGAUGAUUGAUUUAUUUUUGUUUCAGAUCUGUUAUUGAUGUCAUUGCUCUAGAUCUCUGUGAUCUCUUUUGUCGGUUUUUAAGACAAAGUGAGAGCAGACGUCGUAGAAUGUGUUCCCAUUUAAAAUGCUAUGUGUAACCUAACAUGGGCAUGGAAUGGCCUUAUUGUGAAGUCCUCUCCCACUCUCCCCCCAUUGGUAAUAUUAUGAUGUCCGUAUCACCACCCCCCAAUCCCAUGUGUUUCAACAGUGUCAGUUCCUCCAGUGUUAGUUUGGGUUUUUGCGUCAUCCAAAAACAUGAGAUGAAAUUAAUUUAUAUAUUUUUAGAUAGAAAAACCUGUACAAUAAAGUGGACUUUAACCUAAAAAGGGUCCAAUUUACUAAAUUCAUUUCAAGAGCGGAUAAGUUGACAGCUGCACCCACUGCCUUAACCCCCAGAUUCUGCUUUCAUAUUUCCAAACAGAGAAUUAAACGGCUUUUCAAGGAAGAUGAAACGUUGUACAGUAGACCAAUGUGUUGUAGAAAGUACUAGGUGAAAACAGAAUAUUUAUUACUUGCGUUGGAAGAAAUUGUUUACUUAUUGAAUGUUGUCUGUCUAAUG
RNAcentral lists this long non-coding RNA (1242 nucleotides) under Salmo salar (Atlantic salmon). Its description in RNAcentral is "lncRNA (ENSSSAG00000117831.1)". Lineage: Eukaryota; Metazoa; Chordata; Actinopteri; Salmoniformes; Salmonidae. The record is from RNAcentral.